RNAcentral lists this ribosomal RNA (329 nucleotides) under uncultured eukaryote. Its description in RNAcentral is "partial 18S ribosomal RNA". It matches the Rfam family "Eukaryotic small subunit ribosomal RNA", at positions 1470 to 1796 of the family's 1831-position model. The record is from RNAcentral.
CCCUUAGAUGUUCUGGGCUGCACGCGCGCUACACUGAAGCGUUCAACGAGUAUUUCACCUUGCCCGGGAGGGUUGGGUAAUCUUUUUAAAACGCUUCGUGAUGGGGAUAGAUUAUUGCAAUUAUUAAUCUUCAACGAGGAAUGCCUAGUAAGCGCAAGUCAUCAGCUUGCGUUGAUUACGUCCCUGCCCUUUGUACACACCGCCCGUCGCUCCUACCGAUUGAAUGGUCCGGUGAAGCGUUCGGACCGUGGCCUUUGGACGGUUCGCCGUCUGUUGGCUGCGGGAAGUUCGUUAAACCUUAUCAUUUAGAGGAAGGAGAAGUCGUAACA